Molecule: long non-coding RNA, 804 nt
Organism: Perca fluviatilis (European perch)
Lineage: Eukaryota; Metazoa; Chordata; Actinopteri; Perciformes; Percidae
Exons: 3
Source: RefSeq, a predicted model, not a curated record
AAUAGUUUCCCGUCCUCAUGCUUCUCUGUUUUCCAGCAAUGCACCAGCACCAGAAGAAAUCGCUUUCCAUCCUGAGUUGUAAUGCUUAAGAAAGCAAUGGCUGCUGCCAUUGCCAUGGGAAAUCAUGCCUUUCCUUAAAGAAAAAAAGACAACAAGCAGGAAGAGAUCCCUCACCAAUCCGGUGGUCACAAACCGAGUGAACAGCGAGAAACAUCGGGAACCACAAUGCCCUCAAUCAGAUGAAAAAAGACACAAGAUGUCAGUGAACGACGUCCCAGUAAAAGACAUCAUCUGUCCUCAUGUUGCUGUCGGCUAUAUGUCCAGCCUCUUCUAUGUGCUGAACAUCAUGUACCCCAGGGGAGCAGCACUGAUUCUGGAGUUUACCCAAAUAUAUGUUUUGACAAUGUUCUUUGUCCAUUUAAAGGGCAACUUUUAUGUAGCAUUUUCAGGUUAAUAACUGUAUUUUGUGUUUGUACUAGAAUAUGUUUACAUACUUUAAUGUUUAUUUUUCUCAUACUGCCCAUGGCUGCUGUACCUGUAUUCACCCUCUGUAUGGGUCUCUUUAAACCCGCCUCCUGACAAAGCCCGGUCUGCUCUGAAUGGCCAGAGUGUUUCCUGGAAUCUGCGCUUCACUCCGUGCCUAGCUGUUUCGCUAGUAUCAGCUGGAGCUACUGCAACAGAGUAUAUAACAGGACUUUGUACCGUGAAAAAUCACCAAUAAAGGCUUCUAAACCAAAUACUACACAACCGGACAUGUCCCAACCAACAUUGGCCGCCAAGAUUAGCUACAGCUAUGUGGCGUCA